This 468-nucleotide ribosomal RNA is filed under the name uncultured bacterium. RNAcentral's name for it is "partial 16S ribosomal RNA". It matches the Rfam family "Bacterial small subunit ribosomal RNA", at positions 28 to 507 of the family's 1533-position model. The record is from RNAcentral.
GACGAACGCUGGCGGCGUGCUUAACACAUGCAAGUCGAACGGAAAGGCCCUGCUUUUGUUACAUGCUCGAGUGGCGAGCGGGUGAGUCACACGUGAGUAACCUGCCCUUGACUUUUGACUACCUUCAAGAAACUGGGACUAAUAACGGAUAUGCGCUCCUGCUGCGUGGUGGGGGUUGGAAAUUGCGGGUGGUGGGGGAUGGACUCGCGGCUUAUCAGCUUGUUGGUGGGGUUGUGGCAUACCAAGGCUUCGACGGGUAGCCGGCCUGAGAGGGUGACCGGCCACACUGGGACUGAGACACGGCCCAGACUCCUACGGGAGGCAGCAGUGGGGAAUAUUGCACAAUGGGCGGAAGCCUGAUGCAGCAACGCCGCGUGCGGGAUGACGGCCUUCGGGUUGUAAACCGCUUUCGCCUGUGACGAAGCGAGAGUGACGGUAACGGGUAAAGAAGCACCGGCUAACUACGUG